UAGACUGGCUGAGUCUUCUGGCCUUCAUCUUUCUCCCAUGCUGGAUGCUUCCUGCCCUUGAACAUUGGACUGCAAGUUCUUUAGCUUUUGGACGUUUGGACUUACACCAGUGGUUUGCCAGGGGCUCUCAGACCUUCUGCCACAGACUGAAGGCUGCACUGUCAGCUUCCCUACUUUUGAGGUUUUGGUACUCAGACUGGCUUUCUUGCUCCGCAGCUUGCAGGCGGCGUUAUGGGACUUUACCUUGUGGAUCGUAAUCAAGAAAAACUUUUUUUUAAGCUACUUGUAGCUUUUCACAAUUGAGUAAGAUAUACUCCUGUAAACAAAAUUUGGAGCACAUUUGUUUCUCUCUACCUGAUUUCUCCAGAAUUUGGAAACUAGUUGACAACUUUGUGCCCUGUCUCCCAGUUUAACAUGGACCUUUCAGUCUGUAAUGCAGAGGAUCCUCUAGAGCAUAACUCCACAAGGCAGAAGACAAGUUUACUGUGGACAAAAAAAAUGGGCUAGAAUGUCUUCAGCUUCUCAGGCCCUUAAUAGGGCUGAUGAUGGAUGACUCUACUGGAGAAAAGGAAGACAAAGAGGUUUCAGAUCAUCAAUAAAGCAGCUGACUCUAAAGAAACGGCUAGAAAUCAUAUUUAAAGUCAAUCUUAAAUGAAUUUGAAAAAAAUACACAUAAAGAUCAUUACCUGCCUCAUUUGGACAUAUCAGACCUAUG
RNAcentral lists this long non-coding RNA (715 nucleotides) under Pongo abelii (Sumatran orangutan). RNAcentral's name for it is "lincRNA". The record is from RNAcentral. Lineage: Eukaryota; Metazoa; Chordata; Mammalia; Primates; Hominidae.